CACACACGCACACACACACACACACACACACUCCCCUCACCACAGUGUGGAUCAUCCCAGUCUGGAGGCGUGGCUGAAAGCGACCAUCCAGCAGAUCUCAGCGCUGCACUGGGCCCACAGGAAGCAGACUGAAGGUGAAGCAGAGGGGGCGGAGCCUGCUCUUCCUGAAGGAUUCAGAGUCGACUUCACCCCCCAGUGAGUCAGCAGUACUGUGCCGAUCGGCGUUCAGAUUGUACAUCAACAGUUCAAUAACCAGUGAUUGUUUUAUUUCCUCUUAUGCUGGUAUUAAAAUGCUUUUAACUAAUUAAUAUGAGAGCU
Molecule: long non-coding RNA, 318 nt
Organism: Etheostoma cragini (Arkansas darter)
Lineage: Eukaryota; Metazoa; Chordata; Actinopteri; Perciformes; Percidae
Exons: 3
Source: RefSeq, a predicted model, not a curated record